Molecule: ribosomal RNA, 440 nt
Filed under: uncultured Anaerolineaceae bacterium
Lineage: Bacteria; Bacillati; Chloroflexota; Anaerolineae; Anaerolineales; Anaerolineaceae
Description: bacterial SSU rRNA
Rfam family: Bacterial small subunit ribosomal RNA
Source: RNAcentral
GAUGAACGCUGGCGGCGUGCCUAAUACAUGCAAGUCGAACGGAAAACUCUUGGUACUUGUAUCGGGAGUUUUUAGUGGCGAACGGGUGAGUAACGCGUUGGUGACCUACCCCAAAGUGGGGGAUAACAGAUCGAAAGGUCUGCUAAUACCUCAUGUUGUCAUCGUUUUUAGAAAUCGAUGAUUAAAGGAGCAAUCCGCUUUGGGAGGGGCCUGCGUCCCAUCAGCUAGUUGGUAGGGUAAUGGCCUACCAAGGCGUCGACGGGUAAGGGACCUGAGAGGGUGGCCCCUCACAAUGGAACUGAAACACGGUCCAUACACCUACGGGUGGCAGCAGUAGGGAAUAUUGCACAAUGGGCGAAAGCCUGAUGCAGCAACGCCGCGUGUACGAUGAAGGCCUUCGGGUCGUAAAGUACUUUUCAGGGAGAUGAGAAAGGACAGUA